UACGUAGGGUGCAAGCGUUAAUCGGAAUUACUGGGCGUAAAGCGUGCGCAGGCGGCUUUGCAAGACAGAUGUGAAAUCCCCGGGCUUAACCUGGGAACUGCAUUUGUGACUGCAUGGCUAGAGUACGGUAGAGGGGGAUGGAAUUCCGCGUGUAGCAGUGAAAUGCGUAGAUAUGCGGAGGAACACCGAUGGCGAAGGCAAUCCCCUGGACCUGUACUGACGCUCAUGCACGAAAGCGUGGGGAGCAAACAGG
Molecule: ribosomal RNA, 253 nt
Filed under: uncultured bacterium
Lineage: Bacteria
Description: partial 16S ribosomal RNA
Rfam family: Bacterial small subunit ribosomal RNA
Source: RNAcentral